Molecule: long non-coding RNA, 746 nt
Organism: Taeniopygia guttata (zebra finch)
Lineage: Eukaryota; Metazoa; Chordata; Aves; Passeriformes; Estrildidae
Source: RefSeq, a predicted model, not a curated record
UCUGACUCAUCAGAAGAUGAUUUCAUCCAGUCUUUUCAGGAGGAUAGGGAUGAAUGUAUUCAGUACCCCUCAGGAUGAUUUGGGAUGCUGUGGGAACACUCAGAGCGCCAGAGAUGAAGGGGAGCCCGUUUUUCUGGGCAGCAAAGGACAGCAGAGCUCCUUUGGAAGGAGGAUGUGAGAAUCUGAAUUUGAUGGCAGUUUCUACCCAGAACCAAGGAGCAGAGCAUUGCCAGCUCCCUGCAGGGGGAAGCUGGAAGGGCAGAAAUUCCCAAUCCCACAGCUGGGCUGAGCUUGGCACACUUCACCUCUCCUGGGCUACACUGGGUGUCACUGCAAUGCCAAGCUUUGGCAAGCAAAUCCUGCUUCCCCGGGUCUUGCUGCAGCCUUUUGCUCCAGUGCUGAGGAAGUUAUCAUGACAUGUCAUAUUUCAGCUGGAAAAAAUCUAUUUUGCAUGGUUCCUCCUGCAAUUUGCAUGUGCUUUGCUUGCUCCUCACAGCGUUGCACGUGUAACAGGCACAUGUAGUAAAGGAAGAAUAUACAUAGUAUGGUUUUCUGUUCAAAUUUGGUUUUGUUCCUGCUGAGCCAAGACUUUGAUGCUAGACAGCAGUGGAAGGAAUGCCUGAACUCACAGCAUUUUAAUUUUUUUUUUUUGAAAGAUUUACAAAAUGCAUUAAAGUGGUGUAUAAACACAGAGUAUUAACAAUUCUGUGGCAAAUAAAUUAUUAGCUCUUUAUGUUGUAGGAUAA